AUGCUGGAGGUAUCAGAAGUGCGAAUGCUGACAUAAGUAACGAUAAAGCGGGUGAAAAGCCCGCUCGCCGGAAGACCAAGGGUUCCUGUCCAACGUUAAUCGGGGCAGGGUGAGUCGACCCCUAAGGCGAGGCCGAAAGGCGUAGUCGAUGGGAAACAGGUUAAUAUUCCUGUACUUGGUGUUACUGCGAAGGGGGGACGGAGAAGGCUAUGUUGGCCGGGCGACGGUUGUCCCGGUUUAAGCGUGUAGGCUGGUUUUCCAGGCAAAUCCGGAAAAUCAAGGCUGAGGCGUGAUGACGAGGCACUACGGUGCUGAAGCAACAAAUGCCCUGCUUCCAGGAAAAGCCUCUAAGCAUCAGGUAACAUCAAAUCGUACCCCAAACCGACACAGGUGGUCAGGUAGAGAAUACCAAGGCGCUUGAGAGAACUCGGGUGAAGGAACUAGGCAAAAUGGUGCCGUAACUUCGGGAGAAGGCACGCUGAUAUGUAGGUGAAGUCCCUCGCGGAUGGAGCUGAAAUCAGUCGAAGAUACCAGCUGGCUGCAACUGUUUAUUAAAAACACAGCACUGUGCAAACACGAAAGUGGACGUAUACGGUGUGACGCCUGCCCGGUGCCGGAAGGUUAAUUGAUGGGGUCAGCGCAAGCGAAGCUCUUGAUCGAAGCCCCGGUAAACGGCGGCCGUAACUAUAACGGUCCUAAGGUAGCGAAAUUCCUUGUCGGGUAAGUUCCGACCUGCACGAAUGGCGUAAUGAUGGCCAGGCUGUCUCCACCCGAGACUCAGUGAAAUUGAACUCGCUGUGAAGAUGCAGUGUACCCGCGGCAAGACGGAAAGACCCCGUGAACCUUUACUAUAGCUUGACACUGAACAUUGAGCCUUGAUGUGUAGGAUAGGUGGGAGGCUUUGAAGUGUGGACGCCAGUCUGCAUGGAGCCGACCUUGAAAUACCACCCUUUAAUGUUUGAUGUUCUAACGUGGACCCGUAAUCCGGGUUGCGGACAGUGUCUGGUGGGUAGUUUGACUGGGGCGGUCUCCUCCUAAAGAGUAACGGAGGAGCACGAAGGUUGGCUAAUCCUGGUCGGACAUCAGGAGGUUAGUGCAAUGGCAUAAGCCAGCUUGACUGCGAGCGUGACGGCGCGAGCAGGUGCGAAAGCAGGUCAUAGUGAUCCGGUGGUUCUGAAUGGAAGGGCCAUCGCUCAACGGAUAAAAGGUACUCCGGGGAUAACAGGCUGAUACCGCCCAAGAGUUCAUAUCGACGGCGGUGUUUGGCACCUCGAUGUCGGCUCAUCACAUCCUGGGGCUGAAGUAGGUCCCAAGGGUAUGGCUGUUCGCCAUUUAAAGUGGUACGCGAGCUGGGUUUAGAACGUCGUGAGACAGUUCGGUCCCUAUCUGCCGUGGGCGCUGGAGAAUUGAGGGGGGCUGCUCCUAGUACGAGAGGACCGGAGUGGACGCAUCACUGGUGUUCGGGUUGUCAUGCCAAUGGCACUGCCCGGUAGCUAAAUGCGGAAGAGAUAAGUGCUGAAAGCAUCUAAGCACGAAACUUGCCCCGAGAUGAGUUCUCCCUGACUCCUUGA
RNAcentral lists this ribosomal RNA (1571 nucleotides) under Escherichia coli. RNAcentral's name for it is "bacterial LSU rRNA". It matches the Rfam family "Bacterial large subunit ribosomal RNA", at positions 1270 to 2826 of the family's 2925-position model. Lineage: Bacteria; Pseudomonadati; Pseudomonadota; Gammaproteobacteria; Enterobacterales; Enterobacteriaceae. The record is from RNAcentral.